GUGCACCAGUCGCGAAUCUUUAGCAAUGCCCGAAAGGGUGACUAUGCGACGCCGCGUGAGCGAUGAAGUCCUUCGGGACGUAAAGCUCUGUCAGGUGGGAUGAAUUUUCGACCUUAACAGGGUUGGAAUUUGACCGUACCACCAGAGGAAGCCACGGCUAACUCCGUGCCAGCAGCCGCGGUAAUACGGAGGUGGCAAGCGUUGCUCGGAUUUAUUGGGUGUAAAGGGCAUGUAGGUGUCCUAGUAAGUCCUGGCUGGAAAAUCCUUCGGCUCAACCGAAGAACGUGUCAGGAAACUGCUGGGAUUGAGUACGGAAGAGGAGAACGGAAUUCCCCGGUGUAAGGGUGAAAUCUGUAGAUAUCGGGAGGAACACC
This 374-nucleotide ribosomal RNA is filed under the name uncultured microorganism. Its description in RNAcentral is "bacterial SSU rRNA". It matches the Rfam family "Bacterial small subunit ribosomal RNA", at positions 346 to 710 of the family's 1533-position model. The record is from RNAcentral.